UUCGGGGGUAUGAAUAACCAAGACGUUCACUUUCCUGUUGACAUGACAUUUCGUUGACAUGAUUGAUAUGUUUAUCUUUUUUUUUAAUUAACAGCUGCAUUAUUCGAACACUAAUUUUUGUUUACAUCUUUGCAUACAUUACAUUAGUGUUAAUUAUCAUAACUUUUCGAAAUUGUUCAUCAGCAUCUCAACUUUAUUAUUUGAG
Molecule: long non-coding RNA, 205 nt
Filed under: Mytilus galloprovincialis (Mediterranean mussel)
Lineage: Eukaryota; Metazoa; Mollusca; Bivalvia; Mytilida; Mytilidae
Source: RNAcentral